CAUCCCAAAAUUUCAAACCUUGACAUGUGCAUUGCAUCCAUAAGCACCAUGCCACAAUUGCAUGUUUGAAUUCAAAUUUGAAUCUAAAAAGGCUUUUAAAGGAUUCUAUUUCAAUUUAAACCUUAGGGUUCACACCCCAUUUGAGCUUUGGAUCUUCAAACCAAUAGGUUUUAUGUAUAAAAGGGGUUUAAUGCAUAUAUAAGCUAUCCCAUAAUUUUUGGAUAAUUAUUUGGAGUUGAAAACGUAUUUUAUUUAAAUAGAUAUAUGGCCCAAAAGGCAUUUAUAGGGCAAAUGUAUUUUUAUAUAUUUUAUUUUGAAGAGAAACUACUUCCAAAAGUUGUAUCAUGCUAGAACAUGAUUUUACAAAUUUUCUGGAAUUUAUUUGGACCAAUUUGGAGUUCAAACUCAAAAGAUAUCAAAGAAAUGAGAAAAACAGAAAAAUAAAAGGCUAAAAGAAAAAAAAAGGGAGAAACGGACCGGCCCGGCCACUUUGGGCCGAACAGGCCCAAUCCCUCGCGCGCGCCGCAGCCCUGCCGGCCCAGCCGCUCGCCCGGAUCCGCUGAAAGGUGGGGCCCACCUGUCAAGGUCUUCUUCCUCGUUUGGAAGGCGCCCGCGACGCGCGCCGCCUUCCUUCUUCGCCGCCGUGCGCCGUCUCCGCCGGAAUCUCCGCGCUCAGUCGAUAUCUCGCUGUCCCGAGCGCGUCCAUUUAAACCCC
Molecule: long non-coding RNA, 715 nt
Filed under: Brachypodium distachyon (stiff brome)
Lineage: Eukaryota; Viridiplantae; Streptophyta; Magnoliopsida; Poales; Poaceae
Description: long non-coding RNA (BDIS_LNC005685)
Source: RNAcentral